GUGCUUGCUUUGGCAGCACAUAUACUAAAAUUGGAAUGAUACAGAGAAGAUUAGUGUGGCCCCUGCUCAGGAUGACAUGCAAAUUCGUAAAACAUUCCAUAUUUAA
Molecule: small nuclear RNA, 106 nt
Organism: Suncus etruscus (white-toothed pygmy shrew)
Lineage: Eukaryota; Metazoa; Chordata; Mammalia; Eulipotyphla; Soricidae
Source: RefSeq, a predicted model, not a curated record